GCAUGUAGGAAUGCGAAUUAUUUUUAUUUUGUUGAAAUUCCCAUUUUGUGGGAGUAUUAUGCAUGAGUAUGCUGAUGAUUGAUAUGACUGUGUUUUUUUGAAUUUUCUGUUUGGUAGGAAAACCAUUUAUGAAUGAUUCAUAUGAUGCAUAUGGGAAUGCAAAUGGGUAAUUGGAUAUUUUUUGUAGGAUUUUAUUUUUUUGAUAUUAUUGAGGAAUAUCAUCAUUAAAGAGUUGAUGGAAGGUAGUGAAUGUCGACAUCAAAGGGUUGAUGGAUAGGUAAAUGCCAUCGUCAAAGGGUUGACGGAAAAAUUGUCAUCAUCAGAGGGCUGAUGGAAAAGAAAUUCAUUAUAGAGUGACAUCGUCAAAGGGUUAACGGAAAGGUAAAGGAUGUCGUCACCAAAGGGUUGGUGGAAAAGGAAAUAUAUAUGUAAUGUCAUCGUCAAAGGG
Molecule: long non-coding RNA, 448 nt
Filed under: Lathyrus oleraceus (garden pea)
Lineage: Eukaryota; Viridiplantae; Streptophyta; Magnoliopsida; Fabales; Fabaceae
Description: Pisum sativum (pea) long non-coding RNA (PSAT_LNC040083)
Source: RNAcentral